GAUGAACGCUGGCGGCGUGCCUAAUACAUGCAAGUAGAACGCUGAAGGAGGGGCUUGCUCUUUCCGGAGGAGUCGCGAACGGGGGAGUAACCCGUAGGUAACCUGCCUGGUAGCGGGGGAUAACUAUCGGAAACGAUAGCUAAUACCGCAGAACAGUAGAGAUUGCAUGAGAUUUGCUUGAAAGGGGCAAUUGCUCCACUACCAGAGGGACCUGCGUGGUAUUAGCUAGUUGGUGAGGUUACGGCUCACCAAGGCGACGAUACAGAGCCGACCGGGGAGGGGGGUCGGCCACCCUGGGACUGGGACACGGCCCAAACCCCUUCGGGAGGCAGCCAUAGGGGAACUUCGGGCAUGGACGGAAGUCUGACCGAGCAACGCCGCGUGAGUGCAGAAGGUUUUCGGAUCGUAAAGCUCUGUUGUCAGGGAAGAAAGAGAGUGAGAGUGGAAAGUGCACACUGUGACGGUAUCUUACCAGAAAGCGACGGCUAACUACGUG
RNAcentral lists this ribosomal RNA (496 nucleotides) under uncultured bacterium. RNAcentral's name for it is "partial 16S ribosomal RNA". It matches the Rfam family "Bacterial small subunit ribosomal RNA", at positions 28 to 507 of the family's 1533-position model. The record is from RNAcentral.